AAAUAGUUAAAUCUUGAUUAAACCUAAGAUGGUAUAGAUAAAUUUUCUGUUAAACGAUGUCGUUUGAAGUUUAAUAUAUUUAGCAGAUAUAGCAUGCUCAAACAGCUCCUCUUCAUGCCGCUUCCAAUGCUUUCUUCUUCAUUUGCCGUCGUCGCGACUACCAAAAAGGUACCCAUCCCUCUUUUGAUCGUCAUUUUGCAUACCCUUUCCUUCAAUCUGAUUCUUUCUCUUAGUGUUUUUUUUUUUUUUAAAUAAUAAUUUCAUAUACCCUUUUGAUUCUUUUGGAUUGUUUUUGUGGAUUCAUUUACUUUGUUAAUUUUCAUUUGGGUUGGUUAUUAUUGGAUGAUUUAGAAAUGCUAAUGUACUAUGGCAAUAAUCAGAUGCUGUUCAUUGUGCCAUUAGCCUGCUGCUGAUUAAGUUUUCAGGAGUUCAUGCUGAGAUUCAUCCGUCUGGUCAUGUUUAUAUUUAUUUUGAAAACAGUUAGACAAAUUGAUAAUUACAAUAAAAUGAAUACACACAUGUUGCACAACAAUGGAGGAGUGUAGUUUGAAGACUAUCAGACAAAUUGAUAGUCACACCAAACGAAUACACACAUCGCAUAAUAUCAUUGUAUGGUUGCUCCAUUGUGGUUAUGGUGGUUUUAAUCGCAGAAAGCUAUUUGCCACAAGCACCACGACUAUUGAUGGCAUUUCGUUUUGUAUUGAUAAUAAGUCAACAGAUUUUUGCAUUAAUCUUCUGUUUCUACUUUUUUUUUUUUUAAAUGUAUAACACACGCACACUAGUGAGACUCGAAUCCAUGACCUGAGUUUUAAGAAGACUGUUCCUUAACAUUCAGAUAUCAUUUUGUACCUAGAAUUUGGUCCAUUAUUUUCUCUGUUUAGAGUCUCUCAGGUCUUGUCUGUAAGAUGGUGCAUGGUAGUACUGUUUGCAUGUUGAAGAAACCUCAAUAGGUAGGUUGGAUGAAUAAUUGUAUUGCCCAGUUAAAGCAACUCUUUUUUUGAGUUAGACUGUUGAUAACACAUUUGAAAGCUGGAGUUUUCUACUUGUUUCCUAAGUUUUCAGUCUACUUUCUGAGGUUUAUUAUUAUUUCACAUCCUCUAUUAGGUCUUUUUUUGCAUUAUAAAGCUGUAUUAGAGUCCUUGCAAUCAAUGUACCUUACAUUGAUUGUAAGGUAGCAAAAUCCUUACUACUUUUGGACUCCCCUUGAUAUUGCAGAGUUUGUGUGUCAGUGUCCCCCCUCCCCUUUUUGGGUUGGUUGUUGAAGAGUCUGAACAAAAUCAGUGUUUUGUUCUGUUAGGAUCCCCUCCGGAUGCUAUAUCCGAGACCCAGUCCUUGGUCCAGCCAAUGUAGUUAAUUUCCCAGUUGGGCUAUGAAAACCACUGCACAUAUGAUGCGUUGCUCCAAGAUAGGGAGUGUGAGACUGGUAGAAAUACUAAAAGUGUGCCCCAGCCCUACAAUUGUCAUAGUUUUAGACAUUUUGAAGAAAUGAAUACUGCGGUUUUAAUUAUUUAAUAGUGAUAUGGAAACAAACUACUGUACUGAACCAUGUAGUCGACAAUCUUUCUACAUCGAUACACAUUACUGUAACUGAAUUUUAAGAAGUCUUUGGAGAGCUCAAGGGAGUGCAUCCUAUAUAUUCUAUAGCAUCUAGGGAUGUCUGCAGAUUGUUGACUUGAUCUUGUCAUAGUGUCUUAUAGUCAAUAAGAUGUGCUAGUAAUUAAAUAAAUUGUUCAUUUUUAACACCAUUGUUUCGGUUAAAGAAAUUAUUGAAAUGAGUUAGGAGUUUUGGUAAAAUUGACAUGCUGUAGAGCAAGCGUGAAAUAAUCAGUGCCCCAUCAAGAGCAAUAUUGUUGGGUUGAUUACAAAUUGAGAAUAAAUGACGGCGGUCUUCUUGUUUUAAUGGAAAAAUGGAAACAAAACUAGGAUGAGGGAGAAAAACCUACAAAUAGUCCAUGAGGAGAAGGGGAGAGAGAGAGAGAGAGAUGCACUGCAAAUUUUCCAUAUGGAGAUGUAUUUUCAGGUUAUUUACCCCUUAUUUGUGAUUGUUGUUGUUGAAGAAAAACUUAUUGGCAAACAUUAAUUGCAGAAACUUCCAGACAAUUUGAAAUAUUGAUUGGUAAACUAAUUAAUGAAUGUCAUUGCUUGCAAUUUCCCUGUCCCUUAAAAUGAAUAAAAACGUUUCCUUGCAAGUGGAUUCUGAGACUAUCUGUUCAUAUAUGCUUUUCAUCACACUGAGUGUUGGACAGAGCUCAGUCGGUUGAUGUUUAAUUUCAUGCUUUUGAUUCAUGACCUGCCUUAUGCUGCCAAGUUUUACGACUGCUGUGGGGCCGAGGAUCCUGAUGCCUCUGGUUGCACCACCAGCUUCCAUGUCUCUUAUGAUGAUGAUUGAUGUAAUAUUCUCUUCCUAAUCACCUAUAUCUCGAACGUUCAUUAAAUUUGUAGAUAUCCCCAUGUCUCCUCUCUCGACACACAUCAUUCCCUGCUGUUCUCCUGUUAUAUAAUUCCAGUCUUCAUCUCUUAAACUUUCAACUCUCAUCUUUUGUUUUUUUCCCCCUGGAUUGAUCUGACAUGAAUUUCAAAUGAUGAUCUGAGAGGUAUGAACCCUUAGUCGCAUAUUACAUUCAUGCUACCAAGUCGUUUUUGGAGCCAAAAAUAGGUCAUGUGCCUGCAAUUGGCCAAAUCCAUAACUGUUUGCAUGAGUUUGAUGUGCGAAAAUGUGAAAGGUAGAAUGCAGCUGGCAAAGGAAAAAUCAAAGGGCAUGCUUCCCACAUCAAGAUGGUGGUAGUGGUACAUCUUUGUGUUUCCUUGACCUUAUCCAAUAUAUUCAUCAUUUUUGGUUACUCUGCAAUUUUCCGCUGUACAUUUUGAUCCCACACCAUGUGCUUGACAGUUGUUUCGAUUUUAUCUCUUUUUUUUUUUUUCCUUUCUAUCUUUCAGAUCAGCAUUUUUGUCUUGAUUCUUGAAUAGUUGAAUAUGUAUGUGUGGGUGGGUAUAUAAUAUAUAGUACUUAGAUUUUGUUUAAUUUUCUAUUGCUAACUUGAUUAUUUGUGGCAUUAAUUUAAUAUGAUUUACAUCUUUUUGGUUGUAGUGUUGAUGAGUUGCCUUUAUAUGAUGAC
This 3116-nucleotide long non-coding RNA is filed under the name Citrus maxima (pomelo). Its description in RNAcentral is "long non-coding RNA (CMAX_LNC003131)". Lineage: Eukaryota; Viridiplantae; Streptophyta; Magnoliopsida; Sapindales; Rutaceae. The record is from RNAcentral.